GCUGGGAGAUACAACUGGUAGAAAAAUAGAGGGGGGAGGAGAGACCAAGGAAAUAGAACAGUUGCUGAGAAAGGGAAAAGGGAAAAGUCUUGGAAUGGGGGGUUGGAAGAGCAUUCAGGAAAUGAAAAGGUAGAAUGAAGGGAUAUUUAGCAAGCUUCCAUUGCACAGAAAGAGGGAAAAACUGCAUCUGUUGUAAAAAGUUUCAAACUGGUUUCUCUGAAAAAGGUUGGUGAGAGAGAGAUUCCCAAAUUGAGAUUCUCAAGCCUCUAGGAAGUUAAUAAAUACUAUUCCUAAGGCCCCAGAUAAAAUUGCGAAUCUCUUCAAAUCGGGAAUUAUUCAGAAAAAGCAAGCAGAAAAUGUGUGCUGGGAAAAUCUUUUGUCUCUAAGGAAUGGGCUUUUUCCUCAGUCUACCACUCCCUUCUGAAAUAAAGAUCAGGUGCUACUACUGAAAAGACCUGUUUAUAAGUAACAAGAAGUUGAUGAAAUCUAUAAGGUCAUGCAUCAGGUCCUCCUCCGAUCAUCAAGAUCACAGGUGCCAAACUCGUGGCCUCAAGUUGCUGUCAUGUGACAUAUGACAUUUUUCCCUGAAAAAAUGUCGUCUGGAGCUGAGGUGUUGUCCCUGGAAAGCGUGAGACUGCUGCUGAAUUAUAGGAUCUAAAAAUAAACAGAAGUGCAACAAUAUAGUUAAAAUGUUAAUGGUCCCUCUCCUACUUCCUUCUUCUCUCAAUACAAUUGCAAUACAACAGGAAUUGAAAACGAAACCUAUUAUGAUCAAUUUGAAGAGUUUACUUAGAAAAAAAAUGAAUACAUUUUCAUUUUUCAUUUCAUUUGAGUGAAUCACAAAGACAGUAUGUCAUAAAGAAAUUCAUAUGAAUAUAUCAAUGCUGAUUUUCAGGGACAUAUACAGUUAAUAGUUACGUAAUGUCUACGGUUUGGAAUUGGGUAUAUAUGUUGUGUCUGUGACAUAGGUCUAUGUACCUAUGUAUAAAUUAUGUAUAUGACUAGUACAUUCCAGUCAAAGAUUUAGACUAAUGCAAACUCAAGAGAAAGUUCCACUGAAGAAAAACUGAUUUCAAAUUGACAUGCAAAGGCUUAUGCUGCAUUAAUGGCUGCUACAUACUAUUUUGCUGCAUCACUUGGUCUAUCUUGUUUUAAAUAGUAAAAUACAAGAUUGUUACGAGUCUCAGAAUAGCUAGGAAUAAAACCCUGUUGAUUUGAGUGAAUUACUAGAAACUAAUUUAUAUACAAUUUCAUGACCUAUACAGUAUAUCUAAUUACAUCAUGUUGAAUUGUCAAGUUACUCGUAUGCUAAUACUACUGCAAUGAUAGCUCAGCAAUGUCAGUCAACAAAUCUGAAAGAAAAGUUGCUUCCAUUUUUGAGUCUCCACAUCUUCAGACAGACUAGGGUGAGCAGAUAGAAGAAUAAUAAAAUUCCCAGUGAAAAGACAACAUUUUUCUGAAAGACUCGAAACGUUACAUGGAUUUUUGCUGCAAGAAAAUGAUAUAAUUUAUAGAUUUGAGGAAUACAAAAAUAUGUGGAUUGAGCAAGGGGCUGAAGGAAUUUGUAUAACAUCUAAGAGAAGGAUGAUUUUAAAAUUGUAAUUAUCUGUUAAAGAGAAAGUCGGAAGUCAUUUUAUUUUAUAACUAGUUUUUUUUCUUGCACCUUAUUCUUUUCUUUAGUUUUUUCUUUAACAUGUGGUAAAACCCUUAAUUAAAUAUAAACAAAUAAACAGAUAAGCUGGAGUAACAAGGAACCUAUGGACAACAUGUGAACCUCCAGUCCUGCGUCUGUAUCUAAGAAACAUUAGAUUUUUUAAAAAAAAUCAGCCCUAUCUCUUUAACUGGCAUCACCUAAGACCCUCCAGCCAAUAGAAAGCAAAAAGGUUCCCCUAUUCCUGGAGAGAGACUGAAGUUUUCAUCCAGAUUAGUUUUUCGGUAUGGUUGUGAUUAUGCAUCAGAUACAGAAUAUUCUUGAAAAUAAUGAAGCAAAUGCACUGGGAAAAACCUAUGACAUUAUUGUCUUUUUCUUUAAAACAAAGUAAGGUAAUGUUGUAAUGAGAAAUAUGAUAACCUCAUAGUGAUUGUAAUAAAAUCAAUUUUCUCUUUAUAGAUAUUGUGCAAAUAUUGAUAUAUCCAGUAAACAUAAGCAUGUUGUUUGUAAAUGAGAUAAAUGAUCCUGAAAUUUUGAUUACAAAGUGGAAGGAUAUAGCUGCAUUCCUAAAAUGGAAAGGGGGGGGAUCUAUAAUGUUUGUAAGUCGCAGAGUUGCCUCUAGACGAAAUGGAGCAAAAUAUUAUCCACAAUUCAUCCAGCAUAAUCUUGUUUUAUCAAGGAGUGGCCGGCCUCAAAUAAUGUUAGAUUCUCAUUCGUUGUAAUAGCUUAGUAUACCGAUAAGGGUGAAUUAGUAGUAUUUGUGUUGCUGGAUGCAGAAAAAGUCUUUGAUAUGAUUCAAUUUAAAUAUUUAGUUCAAAUGAUGAGUAAAUUUACAUUCCCAAAAAUAUGUUUCUUGGAAAGCAAUUUCAGCCUCUAAAUCCUCUGGUUGAAUUCUUACUGAUCAGAUUGUUUCCAUUAAAACGCAACACAAAAUGUGUCAAGAAUGUGUUUUUUCUUAAUUUUCAUUUUAAUGUUGGAACCCUUCAUAUGCACUAAAUAGGUGAUAUCCAGGAAACGUCUGCAGUAAGGCACUGCGGAGGCCGUGUGGAAGUAACACAAAGGUACAAAAAAUUUUAGGUCAAGCAGGCUUCAGCAAUGGUAAGAUGGCAAAGGUCAUUUGGGGGGGCAGCAGGAAUAGGUGGUGGUGGUGGAAUGCAGGGCAGCCAAAAGAGCAAUGAUGGAGAGAUAGGCAAGCCUGGCAGAGCAACACAGCCUUGUUUACCAAAGGGAAUUUGCCAGGCCCAGAUGGAGAGGAAGCAGUGGCACGGGGCCAGCAGGUUUUGCAGGACACGAGAUAUGAGAGACCCUCACUUAAUGACAGCCUGGUCAUUGCCUAACAACCAGAAUUGUGACUACUGGAACUACUCCCACUUAAUAGUGAAGUAAUGUGAUGUGUCAUCUAAUGACUGCUUCAUUUAGUGAUGGUAAUUCCAGUCUCAAUUAAAGUUAUUGAGGACCAUUUGUAUUGAGCUCAAAAGACCAUUGGACAAAAACAGAAGCUGUGAACAAAAAAAUAAAAACUUUAUAUUUACUUACUACUCAUUUAAUCCCUACAGUGAUAUUGAUAGAUUAUAUCUGUCCUGCACAAAUGGACGAAGAGGUUUAGUUCAAGUCAAACAGUCAAAGAACAAAAGCAUGCAUUGGCUGAUUAUGUAAAAGACAGUCAAGAACAAGUAUUGUUACAAGUUAAAAAAUUGAAACUUACUGAAUAUGUAAGAAAAACAUGACUAACAAAAUUAUUUAAAAUUAUUUAAAUUUGAUUCUUUGCAAAAUAUCAGUCACACAAUCAGUUUUAAUACUUUUUACAAGUCUCAAAUGUUAAUCAUUGGGCUAUAUUUAUUGUUUUAAAGUUCUAUAUGAGCUACCCAAGUUUUGUCCAAUUGAGCAAGAUAUAAAUGAUAUAAAAUAAACAAAUUAUAUCUCUGAGCUUGACUGCCAUGGGUCUAGCACCUACUGCUGCGUAGUGAGUAAAAUGAGGGCCCAGAUUAUUGGGUGC
Long non-coding RNA from Thamnophis elegans (Western terrestrial garter snake), 3647 nucleotides. RefSeq lists it as uncharacterized. NCBI's taxonomy places the organism in Eukaryota, Metazoa, Chordata, Lepidosauria, Squamata, Natricidae. The record is from RefSeq and is a predicted model, not a curated record. The transcript is spliced from 5 exons.